ACUCCUCUGCCUGACUAACAAACGAACAGGUUAAAAACCCCAGAGUGCCACAGAAGACACAAGGCUGGGUUUCUAGGAACUCAGCUGCCAAAGGGGCCUCUGGUGAGGCUUUAAGAGAGCAAUUCCACCUUCAGGGAGAUGUUGUUAUAAGCUGGAAGUGUUUUCCAGUGUGAAGCUCCAAAGCUGAAGAAGAGGUAAAAAAUGAAACCAGCUCAGUGAGUGAACAGCAGAGAUCACAGAUCAGGAGGGAAGCUCGAGACUCAACAGGUGACUCAGCUACAUCAGGACCCAGAAACCUCCGGGCCCUCAGUCCUUUGAUCUCCUGGGUGGAUCGCAGUGAAAGUCCGGGACACCAUCAGCAAGGCUGUCCUGCCACAGAAAUGCAAGUUCA
This is a long non-coding RNA of Neopelma chrysocephalum (saffron-crested tyrant-manakin), 391 nucleotides long. RefSeq lists it as uncharacterized. NCBI's taxonomy places the organism in Eukaryota, Metazoa, Chordata, Aves, Passeriformes, Pipridae. The record is from RefSeq and is a predicted model, not a curated record. The transcript has 3 exons.